Molecule: ribosomal RNA, 330 nt
Filed under: Triticum aestivum (bread wheat)
Lineage: Eukaryota; Viridiplantae; Streptophyta; Magnoliopsida; Poales; Poaceae
Description: partial small subunit ribosomal RNA
Source: RNAcentral
AUGGCUUGCGAAGUCCACGCCGAGAUGGAUCUUCAUUUGCUUUUUAAGCUAGCAGGAGGGGCAGUUCAAGAUGAUGCAGCCGACCAAGCAGCCUGCCAAGAGGGUUUCGCAGUAAGUGGUGCAACCCAUGUCGCUGCUGCUUGCGCACCUGGCCUGGCACUCCUUGACAUCGGCCCUGGCGACGCAGCCGCCCGCGCACGUCGUGACGCAGCCUGUAAGGUCUGCCGCCGCCUGCACCCCAGAGCUCAGGAAGAGCAGGGCAGCAACCAGGAUGGCGACCUUGAGAGUGGAGGCCAUUUGGUCGAUGAUGUAUAUGAGCAAGGAAGUUAA